RNA transcript from Canis lupus familiaris (dog), 4352 nucleotides. It is a transcript of the gene named family with sequence similarity 177 member B, with no coding region annotated. The transcript is spliced from 13 exons. NCBI's taxonomy places the organism in Eukaryota, Metazoa, Chordata, Mammalia, Carnivora, Canidae. The record is from RefSeq and is marked validated.
AAAAGACCCUUAGACGAUUCUAAUCUGGACAACUUUAACCGCCACCGGGUUUGUGGAAUGCACAGUAUAACUGACCUUCCCACAACUCAAACAUGUCCCACCCCGUAAGACACACACACUAGAACACUUCCACGUCAGCUUAUUUGAGGGCUCGGUGUGGCCUCAGCCAAGUUUCAUGUAUUUAUCAUCUACUGAAAAACUUCCAGUACUUUCAGAACCAAACAACGAAUAAAAGCAACAACAACAACAACAAAAAGCAGAAGGAUGAAGAAAUGAACAGUCCUUGUUGGAUUUGAAGAACUGAUGAGGUCAUGCUAUGAUUACAUCUGAAUUGUCUAGCUUUACCAUCCAUUGAAAAUAACUAGAUACCUCUCAGCUUUAUAAACUUCUCCUAAGGUACCCUGUUUCCAAUUCACUACGUGUCUUAUUUCCUUAUGGAAAAAGACAAUUUCCAGAAGUCAGAAUUAGAGAAGAGUGGAUCUUCCAAAAGAACUACUCCCAAAAGAAUUAUCCAUUUCGUUGAUGGAGAUGUCAUGGAAGAAUAUAGCACAGAGGAGGAAGAUGAAGAGAAAGAGGAACAGGAAACAAAGUCAACACUUGAUCCUUCUACACUUUCAUGGGGGCCCUACCUAUGGUUUUGGGCAGAGCAAAUAGCAAGCACCUCAUUUUCUACAUGUGAAUUCCUCGGUGGAAGAUUUGCUACCUUCUUUGGCCUUAAUCAACCCAAAUAUCAGUAUGUGUUAAACGAAUACUAUAGGACACAAAGUAAGGAAAGUGACAAGGAAAGUGAAGGGGAUGGAUCAAAGGCCCAGCCAGCCAAGAUUCCUAAUGAAAGGUGUCAUCUGGAAGCUAGGGGCCAAGAGUAUGGAACUAGACAACAGGACAUCAUAGAGGGUGUUCCUCAGUGGAGCGCCUCCUCCAGGGAGGGCCUGGCAGCAGAUUUCAGCUCAUAAUGGCCAGCAGGACUAUAGUUCCUGUGGAUGUCUGUUCCACUGCUAUUGGUGACCAUGACCAAAGCACCACAGGUAGUGCUCCUGAGCUGAUCUGUGAUUUAUUCAGCAAGCAAUAAUGAGAAUUAUGGAUGCGUUCUCAAUUUUAUAAGCCCCCCAAGUCAACUCCCGCCCCCCCUUCCGCCCAGCAGUGAUGCAAGUCUUGCUAGUCAGUUAUGAACUCUUAUUAUUGAUGUUUGCACAGAAAUGCAAAUGCCCUACGGAAUUUGGAUCUGGCAGUUUUGGACUGAAACUCUUCAUCAUGGGGCUAGGGUACAGAAAAGAAGCUCUCUUCCCGAAGAUACUUCGGGCAUUGUGAAGACUAAAUAAGUCUCCUUUCAGCGUUUGAUGUAAGAUAAAUAAAUAAAAUAUUAAAAAGAAAAAGAACUCCACCUUGUAAUGGGCUUGACUUCUCAAUAAUGAAAGGCCACAUGGAAAGAAAUUCCCAAGGAUGAAAGACUCUCGUGCAUUCCAGUCCCAGCCAAGCUCCUCACCAAAUGCAGCCACAUAAAGGACCUCUUUAUCCUACGUGGAGCAGAUGAACCCUGCAGCUGAGUCCAGUCAACCCACAGAAUCACGAGAAAUAAUAAAUCAUUAUUGUUUUGGAGUGGUUUGCUAUGUAGGAAUAUGCAGCUGAAAUAAUAGCUCUAAGAGAAGGGGAACUUGGAAUUGAUCUGAUAUAAAAUCUAGAAGAAGGCCUGGAGAAUAAGGCAUUGUUGGUUGAAUAUAUGAGAAUAAGACAGGUUUUGUGGCAUAAUAGGACAACUCUAAGACCUCAGUGGUUUGAAACAACAACACUUUGUUUCCUUCUCGUGAGAAGUCCACUGUCAGUUCAGGUGGCUUCCCAGAGUGUUGGCGCAGUGGUACCUGCAUCUCUGAUCCUACGAUUCCUCCAGACUGUGAUGCAUUCAGGGCUGCUGAAGCAGAAGUGGAGUGGGCAGUUAAGCACUCGCAAUCAGUGUCUCCACUAAGAAUAAAACAUGUCACUUUUGAUUAUGUUUCUUCCACCACAGCAAAUCACAUGGACACAAUUAACUUCAAGGGGUGUGAGCCUCCUAAGACAGCUGAGAAGGGGAAACACUUUCUUCCAGCAGCAGUACGGGAUAAAUGACAGACUCAAGCAUCGAUAUGAUUCAGCCAAUCAAAGAAUCAGGUGUUGGAAGUAGGACAAAGGGUAACAAAGUGGAACUGAAAUCAAUGAACGGUGACCCCAAACUGGGUAAUGAACUGGAAGCUGAACAAAUCAACCAGCCCUAAACUUCUGCUCAGAAAAGACCUCACACCACCCAAAAAGAAAGAGUUGAACCUAGGUCAGAACAAUAAUGGGGGAUUAAUCUGGAACAGCACAAGUGUCAAGUAUGGGUGACUCGCUGAAAUAAUGAAUAGGCAAUCGGAUCUUCAUCAAUCAUUCCUAUUACUGACGCUUAUGAGUACACAAACCAACCAUCUCUCUGGGGCAGUGCCUGGGACACAGAACCUUCUCAAAAAUGUAUUGCCAAGAUGUCUACCAAGAAAACAAGUGUGAAGAGGUCAUUAACGAUCAGGAUUGAAGCAGUGUUCUCAACUAUGACAUCCCACUGUCCUGUGCAAGAGAAGUCGGAGCGCUUCCUCACGCUGCACACCUUUGACUGGGAAUAAGACAAACUUGGACUUGCAGCCUCUAUUCCCCAUUACCUCCUGUCCCCGAAAUUUGGGCCUCAGUGAGUAAGGAAAUGAGGAGGGAGAUCCUGCUCACUUCACUGGAGAUGCCUGUAGAAUAACCUCCCAGACUGAACAGGUGUGCAUUACUGCCCUUCACUCUGGCCUGGCUCUUGACCCGACCAAGAAGGUUCUGCACAAGCUGAGUGCUCCCUGCCCCACUCACCAGAAACUGGAUGUGCUUCAGUAGGUGAAAGUGUUGUACAUACAUCCUGAGAGUCCCUCAAGAAAGCAAGAAAAUUCAGCCCAGGAAGUCCAUCUGCUUUGACCACUUUGGUGUCAGCAGCAAGAGCAGCUUUCUGGACAGGUUGGAAAGCCCAUCAGAGCUAGGCCAACCAGUUCCCAGUGGGAUAAGGAGCUGGCUUCAGGAUGUAAAUCAAUGUACUGCUUCAAGACAAGCUUGCACAACAGCUGAAAGUGAACAACAACCAGAAGCUCAAGUAAAAUUCUGUUCAUCAUCUUAUUUUUGUAAUCCUUCCUUGCCUGCCCCUUGCUCUAUCUCCUUUGGCUCAAAACUCCUCUUUGAGAUUCAGAAAAUAAUAUGCAGAAAUGUCUAUGUCUAUAGUUCUAAACCUUAAACCCACGCUAUUCAAGGUGUUUUAGAUAGGAUACAUGAGUCCUUGAACCUCCCAAGGAUGUAUGCAAAAGUUGUGCAUGGGUGAAUUUGCAUUUUUCUGGGGGAAAAUAUCCAAGUAUUCAUCUUCCUUAAAGGGAUAUGAGAUGCAAAAACAUCAAAAGAUCCUUGUUGAUGGUAAACUUACAAAAGUCUUAGGAAACCCUAAACAACACCAAUUUAAAUGAUCAAAAAAGGAGCCAAAAGAUCAAGGCAUUUAAGAACUUUUUCCUUUUUUGGGAUGCCUGGGAUAAUGCUAUCACAUAAGAGAUGGCAGUAAAUAUUUAUUGGCUAUUUAUUUAGUCAAUAUUGAUAAUUGAAGGAUGAUGUAAAAUUGAUAGAAAAUGAAAUGUUCUCAGGGAAGGGCAGUGUACCUGAUGAGCUCCAAUAUUCUUGAAGGUGAAAAAGUCUAGUAGCAUCCCCAAUCAACUUAGGAGCUGGAUCUGGGAUCUUGGCCAUGAGAUCUCUGCACCUGUGUUAUUAUUGCUACUCCCUGACCAUUUCACAGAAUGAAAAAUCUCAAAACAAAAGGAAAGGACCUAAUUUACUUUUUUGAGGGAUCCAUAUCACACUCUACAGUUAAGGAAACCCUAGAAAUAAAAUGAAUAUUAAUAGAUCUAAAAUAGAAAGCAAGGGAAACAAAUCCUUGGGUGGGAAGAAAGAAGCAUGUAAAAUGCUGACCUAGGAUUGUUCUCAAACAUCGACCAAGUGGAGACCCACUUAGUAUCACACAUAUGGUGAAAUUCUAUCAAAAGGGUUUAGAAACCAAAAGUUUGAGGACACUCAAUGAAUGAAAUGCUGAAGUCCAUGGAAAAACUCUCCAGCUGUCUUGUUCCAAGAAUUUUGUCUUGGCUCAUGCCCUUAGUCAGAAACACAACUCCUGAAUUGCCUUAUGGUACAUCUAAUUAUGGGAGAGGGUCUAAGAACUAAAUCCACCCCCCAGGUUCCUGUAGUCAUGUUCUCAGGUGCUAACUCAAGUUUUGCCUUGUAACUGAUGGAAAAUAGAUUGGAAGGUUAUAUAAUAAAGUUAUCUAAUAAAGUUUUACCUUAUA